CGGGGCGCUGCAGCAGUGAGGAAUAUUGCACAAUGGGGGGAACCCUGAUGCAGCAACGCCGCGUGGAGGAUGACGCAUUUCGGUGUGUAAACUCCUUUUAUAUGUCAAGAAAAUGACGGUAGCAUAUGAAUAAGCACCGGCUAACUCCGUGCCAGCAGCCGCGGUAAUACGGAGGGUGCAAGCGUUACUCGGAAUCACUGGGCGUAAAGGACGCGUAGGCGGGUUGGAAAGUCAGGUGUGAAAUCCUACAGCUUAACUGUAGAACUGCACUUGAAACUUCUAAUCUAGAGUAUGGGAGGGGGAGAUGGAAUUAGUGGUGUAGGGGUAAAAUCCGUAGAUAUCACUAGGAAUACCUAAAGCGAAGGCGAUCUCCUGGAACAUUACUGACGCUAAGGCGUGAAAGCGUGGGGAGCAAACAGGAUUAGAUACCCCGGUAGUC
Molecule: ribosomal RNA, 439 nt
Filed under: uncultured bacterium
Lineage: Bacteria
Description: partial 16S ribosomal RNA
Rfam family: Bacterial small subunit ribosomal RNA
Source: RNAcentral